AGUGAACGCUGGCGGUAGGCCUAACACAUGCAAGUCGAACGGCAGCACAGUAAGAGCUUGCUCUUACGGGUGGCGAGUGGAGGACGGGUGAGGAAUACAUCGGAAUCUACUUUUUCGUGGGGGAUAACGUAGGGAAACUUACGCUAAUACCGCAUACGACCUACGGGUGAAAGCAGGGAAUCUUCGGACCUUGCGCGAUUGAAUGAGCCGAUGUCGGAUUAGCUAGUUGGCGGGGUAAAGGCCCACCAAGGCGACGAUCCGUAGCUGGUCUGAGAGGAUGAUCAGCCACACUGGAACUGAGACACGGUCCAGACUCCUACGGGAGGCAGCAGUGGGGAAUAUUGGACAAUGGGCGCAAGCCUGAUCCAGCCAUACCGCGUGGGUGAAGAAGGCCUUCGGGUUGUAAAGCCCUUUUGUUGGGAAAGAAAAGCAGCAGGUUAAUACCCCGCUGUUCUGACGGUACCCAAAGAAUAAGCACCGGCUAACUUCGUG
This 492-nucleotide ribosomal RNA is filed under the name uncultured bacterium. RNAcentral describes it as "partial 16S ribosomal RNA". It matches the Rfam family "Bacterial small subunit ribosomal RNA", at positions 29 to 507 of the family's 1533-position model. The record is from RNAcentral.